UAAGCCCAUGCACUGAUCUUUAGAACAAGAUUAGAAACAAACUGAUUUCUGGCUUUGCAUUGGAUGAUUAAGAAUGCCAACUUUGCUUUAAGAUUGUUUAGAACUGUGGAUGGCAUUUUAGAAGAUUAUUGCGCUUCACUUGAUAAUAAACAUUCGUUUUAAAGAAGAAAUAUACAUGAAAAAAACUCUAUUUCCUCAAUGGUGCUGUAGUAGCAAUAUAAAUUAUAUUCUGAGAUUAACGACAUCUCUUGGACUCUGAAGAAUCAUGAGGUAGUGUUCACCAAAUGAUACUUUUUCAUUGCCAGAACUGACUUUUCUCCAGAAGGGAUGCAGCUUCUAAUCUAGAUCAUUUGACAAGAACACUCCAGGUACCUUGGUUAUGUUACCCAUCUCCAAGUCACAUUUGAGUGUUGGAACAUUUCCUAACCUCAUUGGAUUAGUUUGUUCUUUGCAUCCCAGAAUGUGCUUUUCAGAAGUGAUAAUCCCAGCAAACUGUCCUUUCUGCCUAUCAUCUUUGCCUUCGGUAUAUUAUUUUCUACCUGUAAUUUGGAUUUGGAUUCCAACUUGUAUGAGGUAUCUAUCUUGAUGCUGAGAAUCAUCCAAAAACCAAGAAAAAAUAGAGGGAUCAAGAAGAAAAGAUAAAAACAGAUAGGGGAGGAGAGGGAAGAGUCUAGUGAGGAAAUCUGUUAUUUGUCAAGUAUAAUUACACUAUAGAAUUAAGACUUCUUAUACAAACUUAACUUACAGAGACCAAUGAACUUUGGCACUGUGAUAUUAAAGUAGUUUUCAGGAAUGCAAAGUUAAGUUUAAAUUUGGUUGAAUGCUAAUCAACCAAAUACACACACACACACUCGCUCAGGAUGAUGAAUAAAUUGCUCAAACAAUUGAAACUAACACAUUACUAACUCAUACUGAUGCUUUAAUCUAAUGGGUGCAGAUGAAGUAAACAGUUUCAAGUGACAACAGAGCAGGAGAAGAAAUAUGAAACUACUUGUAAAAUGGUUUUCUCUUAUGGACAUUAAGUAGAGAUGGUAAAAGAAAAAAGAUGCAUCUUCUCUAUAAACAUUGAUGAUACAUUUAACAAGGUGAACAUGCUCAAUACCGGAAUUAAGAUUAGAUUAAUUCAAUGCGCUAGAAACAACAUCUAUUGACAAAGGCAAUGACUACGUGCAAAGUAGUCCAAUUUGGAGGAAAUAAAAAAAAUGCGUCCUUGGAAGAAAAGAUAAAAUGGUGGCAUCUUAGGACAGAAAUGCAAAUAAACAAGGCCAAAGAAGACACCUUUAUGUCCCCAAUGCAUGUUGCUGAAAAAUUGACGGAUUUUCCAAGAAAAGCUUCUCAAAGAUAUUGAACAAACGAUCACAAAAGAAGGUGAAAAUAUAAAAAACAAUCCCACUCCCAAACCCAUAUGGCAAAAACAUGAAUGCCAUCUCUUUAUGAUUGUAAAUUAUAACAAAUCCCUGCAAAUCCUAUGAUUCGAAAAUACACCCAAAAAUAUCCAUUUGGAGAAGUGGCUGAACUAGCUUUGAUAUUAAGAUUCAAGUAGUUUCUAAGAGAAUAAGAUCCAACUUCAAAUAAUAGCUAAAUUCCUAAAGAAAGCAGGAUCAUUGAAAAAGAAAAGCAUGAAAAUUGAAAUAGCAAAUUUUAAGUUUAGUGACAAUUGCAGGCACCCAAUCUUUUUAUUCACGUCACAAAGUAGAACAUAGACUCACUUCUUGCUCAACUCAACCCCAAGGCUUAAGAUAUAAUG
This 1747-nucleotide unclassified non-coding RNA is filed under the name Hevea brasiliensis (rubber tree). Lineage: Eukaryota; Viridiplantae; Streptophyta; Magnoliopsida; Malpighiales; Euphorbiaceae. The record is from RNAcentral.